Molecule: long non-coding RNA, 360 nt
Organism: Calidris pugnax (ruff)
Lineage: Eukaryota; Metazoa; Chordata; Aves; Charadriiformes; Scolopacidae
Exons: 3
Source: RefSeq, a predicted model, not a curated record
GACCACAGCAAGCCAUCUCUAAAGCCAGAAAUGAGAUCCCAAGAGUCUUGGCUCCUUCAUCCUGGUUUUAUAACCUGCGCCGCACUACCUCUGAUUGAACAGAGUCCUGAGGCUGAUUGGCAACAUCAUGGUUCUAAUCCAAAAGAAACCCCUAAUAAUUUUCCUUUUGAAAAGCAGAGGGAAUCUAUUGCCAGAAAAAACGCCUCUGGAAAGAAGCUGGGGGAACUGGAUGAUGCAUCUUUGUCUCUGAGAAGGUGAACUUGAGAAAGGCUUUGGUAAGUUUCCUAAAUAUACAACAGAAUAUUUAUCUUCAGCCUUGAUCCAGGGAAAAAGGAGUACUGUUUCCUGAAAGGGAGGAGA